Molecule: non-coding RNA, 1497 nt
Organism: Pelobates cultripes (western spadefoot toad)
Lineage: Eukaryota; Metazoa; Chordata; Amphibia; Anura; Pelobatidae
Source: the annotation of a GenBank genome assembly
GCUGAUUGCCUGCAACUAUAUUUUCCUUCUCUCCCAAUGACCAGAUCAUCCGGAGCUCCUGCAUUUAUUUUCUCAUGCCCUAAUUACGUCAACCAUUCAAUCUCAUUUUGAGCUGCAAUGCACUUUCUUCCUUUCCUUCAAUUACCAUUGCUUAAAUUAUCUGUUCAUACAUUUAAAUUGAAGGCUUUUCUUUUCCAUAUGACGAGAUAACACCCAGUAUUGUGCACCCCACUACGGUUCUUGUGAACACUGCUGUCUAAUUAAAUUGGAGUUAAGCUAUCAUGCUCCCCCAGCUAUUUUAAGCAACAGUUCUUGAUGCCUGACCCAGAUUCAGGGCAUUAAUCUUGCUUUUCAGAUGACUGUAAAACUGUAUUCUUCAUCAAUUAUAUUAAGUAGUAUUAAUGUUAAGUACUUAUACCAACUAUUUAUUCAAGCAUGGCUUCUUGAUAAUUCAAUUUAGAUUGACCUCUAGCAAACUUAAAAAAAAAAAAUCCAUCUCUAUUACAUGAGUGCCCUUUAUUUCACCCUGCCCAAGAAUGUGUGGGUCCUUUACCAGGCCUAUUGCUAUAGGUCAGUGUUUUGCUAAUAUUUUCAAUACAUGAUAAAUUCAGGAUAAAAUUCCUUUCCACCACUAUUGUCCAAUCUCUUAUUACACAUUACAACUUCCUGUAUACAAUUUGGAAGUACCUAUGUAUAUGGUGACUAAAUUUAUCGUAUUUUUCAUGUAGUUUUGCCUUGUUUCUACCUCGAUUCCUCUUAACUUUAUGGACUGUCGAACUUCAUGGAAAAAUUCAAUGAAAGGUCACAAUCAACAUUCAUUGCUGUCGGUGGGUUGAAUUAAGAAAACAAGCUCGCUGAACGAUGAAUGCAACUGUGUCCCCACUAAAUACCAGAUUCAAGCGACAUCUUACUUUACAUGGAAUUCAUAAAUGAAUAUACAUCUGUCUACAAAUAGAGCCAUUUUGACCAAUGUAACUCCACAUAGAGAUACAAUACUGAAGAUUAGUUAUGGUCAAACCUACCAAUAGCGCUCCUUCAACCAUAACUUUGGAGUUGAUGCAAAGAUGAAUGUGCAGGUAGAAAUUCACUCAUGAAUUAAAUGUUAGUCUAUAUAAAAGAGAGAGCCUGUUAAGUAUUUCAUGUGUUGCUACAGGUAACCUAAAUUCUUUAUUAUUUCCAUAACACUAUCCAAAAGGUUUUUAAAUGUUUUGGUGUAAAAGUUAUCAGCGUCUGAACUGCUGGUAAAAUAUACGGUCUGCCAUUCUGUUACUGUGAUGGUGUACAAGAAAAAUAAACAAUACAUCAACUGCAAGUGUCAACUUAAAUUUGUUACUUGACCACCGUGAAUGAAUUUGGUUUGUUAUGCAAGUUAUGUAACUUUCUGUUAAAGUAUCAUGAGGGAACUUGCUCAAUAAAGAAUCACUCAAACUUUGAGUUGUCCUAUAUUUCUUAGACCAUUCAAAAUGAAUGGCUGAUGAGUGGAUAGUUCACAAAGGA